Molecule: ribosomal RNA, 494 nt
Filed under: uncultured bacterium
Lineage: Bacteria
Description: partial 16S ribosomal RNA
Rfam family: Bacterial small subunit ribosomal RNA
Source: RNAcentral
GACGAACGCUGGCGGCGUGCUUAACACAUGCAAGUCGAACGGAAAGGCCUGCUUUCCCUUGUGGAUUGCGGGUACUCGAGUGGCGAACGGGUGAGUAACACGUGAGUGAUCUGCCCCCAACUUGGGUAUAAGCCUGGGAAACUGGGUCUAAUUCCCGAUAGGACUGCAGGGUGGUGCCUGUGGUGGAAAACGAUUUUCUAGUGGUUGGGGAUGAGCUCGCGGCCUAUCAGCUUGUUGGUGGGGUAAUGGCCUACCAAGGCGGCGACGGGUAGCCGGCCUGAGAGGGUGGACGGCCACAUUGGGACUGAGAUACGGCCCAGACUCCUACGGGAGGCAGCAGUGGGGAAUAUUGCACAAUGGGCGGAAGCCUGAUGCAGCGACGCCGCGUGGGGGACGACGGCCUUCGGGUUGUAAACUCCUUUCGACCGCGAGGAAGCCACCUGGUUGGAAGGGUGGUGACGGUAGUGGUAGAAGAAGCACCGGCUAACUACGUG